RNAcentral lists this ribosomal RNA (451 nucleotides) under Parvimonas micra. Its description in RNAcentral is "bacterial SSU rRNA". It matches the Rfam family "Bacterial small subunit ribosomal RNA", at positions 28 to 480 of the family's 1533-position model. The record is from RNAcentral. Lineage: Bacteria; Bacillati; Bacillota; Tissierellia; Tissierellales; Peptoniphilaceae.
GACGAACGCUGGCGGCGUGCUUAACACAUGCAAGUCGAACGUGAUUUUUGUGGAAAUUCUUUCGGGAAUGGAAAUGAAAUGAAAGUGGCGAACGGGUGAGUAACACGUGAGCAACCUACCUUACACAGGGGGAUAGCCGUUGGAAACGACGAUUAAUACCGCAUGAGACCACAGAAUCGCAUGAUAUAGGGGUCAAAGAUUUAUCGGUGUAAGAAGGGCUCGCGUCUGAUUAGCUAGUUGGAAGGGUAAAGGCCUACCAAGGCGACGAUCAGUAGCCGGUCUGAGAGGAUGAACGGCCACAUUUGAACUGAGACACGGUCCAAACUCCUACGGGAGGCAGCAGUGGGGAAUAUUGCACAAUGGGGGGAACCCUGAUGCAGCGACGCCGCGUGAGCGAAGAAGGUUUUCGAAUCGUAAAGCUCUGUCCUAUGAGAAGAUAAUGACGGUAUCA